This 468-nucleotide ribosomal RNA is filed under the name uncultured bacterium. RNAcentral describes it as "partial 16S ribosomal RNA". It matches the Rfam family "Bacterial small subunit ribosomal RNA", at positions 28 to 507 of the family's 1533-position model. The record is from RNAcentral.
GACGAACGCUGGCGGCGUGCUUAACACAUGCAAGUCGAACGGAAAGGCCCUGCUUUUGUGGGGUGCUCGAGUGGCGAACGGGUGAGUAACACGUGAGUAACCUGCCCUUGACUUUGGGAUAACUUCAGGAAACUGGGGCUAAUACCGGAUAGGAGCUCCUGCUGCAUGGUGGGGGUUGGAAAGUUUCGGCGGUUGGGGAUGGACUCGCGGCUUAUCAGCUUGUUGGUGGGGUAGUGGAUUACCAAGGCUUUGACGGGUAGCCGGCCUGAGAGGGGGACCGGGCACAUGGGGACUGAGAGACGGACCAGACUGCUACGGGAGGCAGCAGUGGGGAAUAUUGCACAAUGGGCCGAAGCCUGAUGCAGCAACGCCGCGUGCGGGAUAAUGGCCUUCGGGGUGUAAACCGCUUUGGCAUGUGACGAAGCGUGAGUGACGGUAAUGGGUAAAGAAGCACCGGCUAACUACGUG